AGGUGAAUAACAGUGCAAUUCUCCUCGGGCAUAUGGAAUGUGCAUGCAUUGUGCAUAACUUAUAUGCCAAAGGAGAAUUGCCCUGCUAUUCACCA
Molecule: non-coding RNA, 95 nt
Organism: Beta vulgaris subsp. vulgaris (sugar beet)
Lineage: Eukaryota; Viridiplantae; Streptophyta; Magnoliopsida; Caryophyllales; Amaranthaceae
Source: Rfam